Molecule: ribosomal RNA, 433 nt
Filed under: uncultured bacterium
Lineage: Bacteria
Also listed under: 1 other name
Description: bacterial SSU rRNA
Rfam family: Bacterial small subunit ribosomal RNA
Source: RNAcentral
AACGAACGCUGGCGGCAGGCCUAACACAUGCAAGUCGAACGCCCUAGCAAUAGGGAGUGGCAGACGGGUGAGUAACACGUGGGAACCUUCCCUAUAGUACGGAAUAGCCCAGGGAAACUUGGAGUAAUACCGUAUACGCCCGAGAGGGGAAAGAUUUAUCGCUAUAGGAUGGGCCCGCGUUGGAUUAGCUAGUUGGUGAGGUAAUGGCUCACCAAGGCGACGAUCCAUAGCUGGUCUGAGAGGACGACCAGCCACACUGGGACUGAGACACGGCCCAGACUCCUACGGGAGGCAGCAGUGGGGAAUAUUGGACAAUGGGCGCAAGCCUGAUCCAGCCAUGCCGCGUGAGUGAUGAAGGCCUUAGGGUUGUAAAGCUCUUUUGGCGGGGACGAUAAUGACGGUACCCGCAGAAUAAGUCCCGGCUAACUUCGUG